This 228-nucleotide ribosomal RNA is filed under the name uncultured bacterium. Its description in RNAcentral is "partial 16S ribosomal RNA". It matches the Rfam family "Bacterial small subunit ribosomal RNA", at positions 524 to 749 of the family's 1533-position model. The record is from RNAcentral.
UACGUAGGGGGCAAGCGUUGUCCGGAUUUAUUGGGCGUAAAGAGCGUGUAGGCGGCCAUUCAGGUCAGCUGUGAAAACUCGAGGCUCAACCUCGAGACGUCGGUUGAAACCGUUUGGCUAGAGUCCGGAAGAGGAGAGUGGAAUUCCCGGUGUAGCGGUGAAAUGCGCAGAGUAUCGGGAAGGAACACCAAUGGCGAAGGCAGCUCGCUGGGACGGUACUGACGCUGA